This 261-nucleotide ribosomal RNA is filed under the name uncultured archaeon. RNAcentral describes it as "partial 16S ribosomal RNA". It matches the Rfam family "Archaeal small subunit ribosomal RNA", at positions 748 to 1009 of the family's 1478-position model. The record is from RNAcentral.
CAGCCGUAAACGAUACUCGCUAGGUGUCGGCCACGGUGCGACCGUUGUCGGUGCCGUAGGGAAGCCGUGAAGCGAGCCACCUGGGAAGUACGGCCGCAAGGCUGAAACUUAAAGGAAUUGGCGGGGGAGCACAACAACGGGUGGAGCUUGCGGUUUAAUUGGAUUCAACGCCGGAAAUCUUACCGGGACCGACAGCAACAUGAAGGCCAAGCUGAAGACUUUGCCGGAUUAGCUGAGAGGUGGUGCAUGGCGUAGUCGUGU